RNAcentral lists this ribosomal RNA (381 nucleotides) under uncultured bacterium. RNAcentral's name for it is "bacterial SSU rRNA". It matches the Rfam family "Bacterial small subunit ribosomal RNA", at positions 29 to 400 of the family's 1533-position model. The record is from RNAcentral.
AACGAACGCUGGCGGCGCGCCUAACACAUGCAAGUCGAACGAGAAGCUGUAGCAAUACAGUUGUACAGUGGCGAACGGGUGAGGAAUACAUGGGUGACCUACCCUCGAGUGGGGAAUAACCAGCCGAAAGGUUGGCUAAUACCGCGUACGUUUCCCAGUUUACGGAUUGGGAAGGAAAGCGAUGCCGUGGGUAUCGCGCUCAAGGUUGGGCUCAUGUCCUAUCAGCUUGUUGGUGAGGUAACGGCUCACCAAGGCAACGACGGGUAGCUGGUCUGAGAGGACGAUCAGCCACACUGGCACUGCGACACGGGCCAGACUCCUACGGGAGGCAGCAGUGAGGAAUAUUGCGCAAUGGGCGAAGGCCUGACGCAGCGACGCCGC